GACGAACGCUGGCGGCGUGCUUAACACAUGCCAGUCGAACGGAAAGGCCCUGCUUUUGUGGGGUGCUCGAGUGGCGAACGGGUGAGUAACACGUGAGUAACCUGCCCUUGACUUUGGGAUAACUUCAGGAAACUGGGGCUAAUACCGGAUAGGAGCUCCUGCUGCAUGGUGGGGGUUGGAAAGUUUCGGCGGUUGGGGAUGGACUCGCGGCUUAUCAGCUUGUUGGUGGGGUAGUGGCUUACCAAGGCUUUGACGGGUAGCCGGCCUGAGAGGGUGACCGGCCACAUUGGGACUGAGAUACGGCCCAGACUCCUACGGGAGGCAGCAGUGGGGAAUAUUGCACAAUGGGCGGAAGCCUGAUGCAGCAACGCCGCGUGCGGGAAGACGGCCUUCGGGUUGUAAACCGCUUUCGCCUGUGACGAAGCGUGAGUGACGGUAAUGGGUAAAGAAGCACCGGCUAACUACGUG
This 468-nucleotide ribosomal RNA is filed under the name uncultured bacterium. RNAcentral describes it as "partial 16S ribosomal RNA". It matches the Rfam family "Bacterial small subunit ribosomal RNA", at positions 28 to 507 of the family's 1533-position model. The record is from RNAcentral.